This 682-nucleotide ribosomal RNA is filed under the name uncultured fungus. Its description in RNAcentral is "SSU rRNA". It matches the Rfam family "Eukaryotic small subunit ribosomal RNA", at positions 246 to 924 of the family's 1831-position model. Lineage: Eukaryota; Fungi. The record is from RNAcentral.
GUGAUUCAUAAUAACUUAACGAAUCGCAUGGCCUUGUGCCGGGCGAUGGUUCAUUCAAAUUUCUGCCCUAUCAACUUUCGAUGGUAGGAUAGUGGCCUACCAUGGUUUCAACGGGUAACGGGGAAUUAGGGUUCUAUUCCGGAGAGGGAGCCUGAGAAACGGCUGCCACAUCCAAGGAAGGCAGCAGGCGCGCAAAUUACCCAAUCCCGACACGGGGAGGUAGUGACAAUAAAUACUGAUACAGGGCUCUUUUGGGUCUUGUAAUUGGAAUGAGUACAAUUUAAAUCCCUUAACGAGGAACAAUUGGAGGGCAAGUCUGGUGCCAGCAGCCGCGGUAAUUCCAGCUCCAAUAGCGUAUAUUAAAGUUGUUGCAGUUAAAAAGCUCGUAGUUGAACUUCAGACCUGGCUGGAUGGUCUGCCGAAAGGUAUGUACUGUCCGGCUGGGCCUUACCUCUUGGUGAGCCGGCAUGCCCUUCAUUGGGUGUGUCGGGGAACCAGGACUUUUACCUUGAGAAAAUUAGAGUGUUCAAAGCAGGCUUAUGCCUGAAUACAUUAGCAUGGAAUAAUAAAAUAGGACGUGCGGUUCUAUUUUGUUGGGUUUCUAGAAAGUCGCGCGUAAUGGAUUAAUAGGGAUAGUUGGGGGGCAUUUAGUAUUCCAGUUGCUAGAGGUGAAAUUCUUGGG